AGAAUCAACGCUGGCGGCGUGCCUAACACAUGCAAGUCGCACGAGAAAGGGUAGCAAUACCUGAGUAAAGUGGCGCACGGGUGAGUAACACGUGAAUGAUCUACCUCCGAGUGGGGAAUAACUGAGAGAAAUCUUAGCUAAUACCGCAUAACACUUACGAGUCAAAGCAGCAAUGCGCUUGGAGAGGAGUUCGCGGCCGAUUAGUUAGUUGGCGGGGUAAUGGCCCACCAAGACGAUGAUCGGUAUCCGGCCUGAGAGGGCGCACGGACACACUGGAACUGAAACACGGUCCAGACUCCUACGGAGGCAGCAGUGGGGAAUUUUGCGCAAUGGGGGAAACCCUGACGCAGCAACGCCGCGUGGAGGAUGAAAUAUCUUGGUAUGUAAACUCCUUUCGAUGGGGAAGAUUAUGACGGUACCCAUAGAAGAAGCCCCGGCUAACUUCGCGCCAGCAGCCGC
RNAcentral lists this ribosomal RNA (459 nucleotides) under uncultured bacterium. Its description in RNAcentral is "SSU rRNA". It matches the Rfam family "Bacterial small subunit ribosomal RNA", at positions 26 to 518 of the family's 1533-position model. The record is from RNAcentral.